RNAcentral lists this ribosomal RNA (458 nucleotides) under uncultured bacterium. Its description in RNAcentral is "partial 16S ribosomal RNA". It matches the Rfam family "Bacterial small subunit ribosomal RNA", at positions 338 to 795 of the family's 1533-position model. The record is from RNAcentral.
CCUACGGGGGGCAGCAGUGAGGAAUAUUGGUCAAUGGGCGAGAGCCUGAACCAGCCAAGUCGCGUGAGGGAGUACUGCCCUAUGGGUUGUAAACCUCUUUUGUCGGGGAGCAAAAGCCGGACGUGUCCGGCUGUGAGAGUACCCGAAGAAAAAGCAUCGGCUAACUCCGUGCCAGCAGCCGCGGUAAUACGGAGGAUGCGAGCUUUAUCCGGAUUUAUUGGGGUUAAAGGGUGCGCAGGCGGAUUUUUAAGUCAGCGGUCAAAUCGUGGGGCUCAACCCCAUCCAGCCGUUGAAACUGGGGAUCUAGAGUGUGCGAGAGGUAUGCGGAAUGCGUGGUGUAGCGGUGAAAUGCAUAGAUAUCACGCAGAACCCCGAUUGCGAAGGCAGCAUACCGGUGCACAACUGACGCUCAGGCACGAAAGCGUGGGUAUCGAACAGGAUUAGAUACCCCAGUAGUC